GUCUUAGUAGUUUACAUAAAACAUUGGUCUUGUAAAUCAAAAAUAAAAAUUUUUUUUUCUAAGACU
Molecule: transfer RNA, 66 nt
Filed under: Cerapanorpa obtusa
Lineage: Eukaryota; Metazoa; Arthropoda; Insecta; Mecoptera; Panorpidae
Description: tRNA-Thr
Rfam family: tRNA
About the family: Transfer RNA (tRNA) molecules are approximately 80 nucleotides in length. Their secondary structure includes four short double-helical elements and three loops (D, anti-codon, and T loops). Further hydrogen bonds mediate the characteristic L-shaped molecular structure. tRNAs have two regions of fundamental functional importance: the anti-codon, which is responsible for specific mRNA codon recognition, and the 3' end, to which the tRNAs corresponding amino acid is attached (by aminoacyl-tRNA synthetases). tRNAs cope with the degeneracy of the genetic code in two manners: having more than one tRNA (with a specific anti-codon) for a particular amino acid; and 'wobble' base-pairing, i.e. permitting non-standard base-pairing at the 3rd anti-codon position.
Source: RNAcentral